This 73-nucleotide transfer RNA is filed under the name Stegodyphus mimosarum. It matches the Rfam family "tRNA". From Rfam's summary of the family: Transfer RNA (tRNA) molecules are approximately 80 nucleotides in length. Their secondary structure includes four short double-helical elements and three loops (D, anti-codon, and T loops). The record is from Rfam by way of RNAcentral. Lineage: Eukaryota; Metazoa; Arthropoda; Arachnida; Araneae; Eresidae.
GCCUUCGUGGUGUAGUGGUCAGGACGCUGGGUGCGUGUUCCAGAUGUCCGUGGUUCGAGUCUCGGCGAAGGCA